This 839-nucleotide small RNA is filed under the name Monascus purpureus. RNAcentral describes it as "LSU rRNA". It matches the Rfam family "Eukaryotic large subunit ribosomal RNA", at positions 74 to 932 of the family's 3401-position model. The record is from RNAcentral. Lineage: Eukaryota; Fungi; Ascomycota; Eurotiomycetes; Eurotiales; Aspergillaceae.
AUUGCCUCAGUAACGGCGAGUGAAGCGGCAAGAGCUCAAAUUUGAAAGCUGGCCCCUCCGGGGUCCGCGUUGUAAUUUGCAGAGGAUGCUUCGGGCUCAGCCCCCGUCUAAGUGCCCUGGAACGGGCCGUCGGAGAGGGUGAGAAUCCCGUCUGGGACGGGGUGCCUGGGUCCAUGUGAAGCUCCUUCGACGAGUCGAGUUGUUUGGGAAUGCAGCUCUAAAUGGGUGGUAAAUUUCAUCUAAAGCUAAAUACUGGCCGGAGACCGAUAGCGCACAAGUAGAGUGAUCGAAAGAUGAAAAGCACUUUGAAAAGAGAGUUAAACAGCACGUGAAAUUGUUGAAAGGGAAGCGCUUGCGAUCAGACUCGCCUGCGGGGUUCAGCCGGCAUUCGUGCCGGUGUACUUCCCCGUGGGCGGGCCAGCGUCGGUUCGGGUGGCCGGUCAAAGGCCCCGGGAAUGUGUCGCCCUCCGGGGCGUCUUAUAGCCCGGGGUGCCAUGCGGCCUACCUGGACCGAGGAACGCGCUUCGGCUCGGACGCUGGCGUAAUGGUCGUAAGCGACCCGUCUUGAAACACGGACCAAGGAGUCUAACAUCUACGCGAGUGUUUGGGUGGCAAACCCAUACGCGCAGUGAAAGCGAACGGAGGUGGGAACCCUUCGGGGCGCACCAUCGACCGAUCCUGAUGUCUUCGGAUGGAUUUGAGUAAGAGCGUAGCUGUGGGGACCCGAAAGAUGGUGAACUAUGCCUGAAUAGGGCGAAGCCAGAGGAAACUCUGGUGGAGGCUCGCAGCGGUUCUGACGUGCAAAUCGAUCGUCAAAUUUGGGUAUAGGGCGAAAGACU